This 253-nucleotide ribosomal RNA is filed under the name uncultured bacterium. RNAcentral's name for it is "partial 16S ribosomal RNA". It matches the Rfam family "Bacterial small subunit ribosomal RNA", at positions 524 to 776 of the family's 1533-position model. The record is from RNAcentral.
UACGUAGGGUGCAAGCGUUAAUCGGAAUUACUGGGCGUAAAGCGUGCGCAGGCGGUUUUGUAAGUCUGACGUGAAAUCCCCGGGCUUAACCUGGGAAUUGCGUUGGAGACUGCAAGGCUGGAGUCUGGCAGAGGGGGGUAGAAUUCCACGUGUAGCAGUGUAAUGCGUAGAGAUGUGGAGGAACACCGAUGGCGAAGGCAGCCCCCUGGGUCAAGACUGACGCUCAUGCACGAAAGCGUGGGGAGCAAACAGG